CAACGAAGCUGGCGACCGGCGCACGGGUGAGUAACACGUAUCCAACCUGCCUCAUACUCGGGGAUAGCCUUUCGAAAGAAAGAUUAAUAUCCGAUAGCAUAUAUUUCCCGCAUGGGUUUUAUAUUAAAGAAAUUCGGUAUGAGAUGGGGAUGCGUUCCAUUAGUUUGUUGGGGGGUAACGGCCCACCAAGACUACGAUGGAUAGGGGUUCUGAGAGGAAGGUCCCCCACAUUGGAACUGAGACACGGUCCAA
RNAcentral lists this ribosomal RNA (252 nucleotides) under uncultured bacterium. RNAcentral's name for it is "partial 16S ribosomal RNA". It matches the Rfam family "Bacterial small subunit ribosomal RNA", at positions 80 to 334 of the family's 1533-position model. The record is from RNAcentral.